CCUACGGGGGGCAGCAGUGAGGAAUAUUGGUCAAUGGGCGAGAGCCUGAACCAGCCAAGCCGCGUGAAGGAGGAAGGAACUAUGGUUCGUAAACCUCUUUUAUAGGGGAAUAAAGUGAGGAACGUGUCCCCUUAUGUAUGUACCAUAUGAAUAAGCAUCGGCUAACUCCGUGCCAGCAGCCGCGGUAAUACGGAGGAUGCGAGCGUUAUCCGGAUUUAUUGGGUUUAAAGGGUGCGUAGGUGGUUAAUUAAGUCAGCGGUCAAAGUUCGUGGCUCAACCCUAAGAUUGCCGUUGAAACUGGUUGACUUGAGUGUAUGUGAGGUAGGCGGAAUGCGUGGUGUAGCGGUGAAAUGCAUAGAUAUCACGCAGAACUCCGAUUGCGAAGGCAGCUUGCUGAACUAAAACUGACGCUGAGGCACGAAAGCGUGGGGAUCAAACAGGAUUAGAUACCCUUGUAGUC
Molecule: ribosomal RNA, 460 nt
Filed under: uncultured bacterium
Lineage: Bacteria
Description: partial 16S ribosomal RNA
Rfam family: Bacterial small subunit ribosomal RNA
Source: RNAcentral